UGCGUUCCAUGCGCAUGCGCGUGCGCAGGGCGCGCGCAUGCGCAUGCCCUCAAGCGCAGGCCUUGGAGUGGGGCUGGAGUUCCGGGCGACCCGUGUGUUGUUGGGUCUUAAUUCUAAAUUUGUCUGUGGCUCUCCUUGAAAUUGCUAAGUAGACAGUUGUAUAAUCCGUGACUAUUGACAUUUGCUUUCUUCUUUGGAACAUUUAAAUUUUAUUCUGUGAACUAGAACCUGCUAGUGGGCAUUCUGAGUUGUUUUUGACUAAGAUGGAGUCUUGCUCUGUUGCCCAGGCUGGAGUGCAGUGGCAUGAUCUCAGCUCACUGCAACCUCCGCCUUCCAGAUUCAAGUGAUUCUCCUGCCUUAGCCCCCCGAGUAACUGGGAUUACAGGCACGCACUACCACACCCUGCUAAUUUUUGUAUUUUUAGUAGAGACGGUUUCACCAUGUUGGUCAUGCUGGUCUCAAACUCCUGACCUCAAGUGAUCUGCCAGCCUUGUCCUCCCAGACUGCUAGGAUUACAGGCAUGAGCCACUGUGCUGGGCCAUGAUUAACUUUCUUUAUAUAUAGUUUCUCCUGAUGUUGUACAAGAGUUUCCUGAGUGUCAACCUAGAAGUGGAUGAGCUGGGUUUUAGUAUAUGCAGAUUGCACACUGGUAUUUAUAACAGCUUUGUUCAUAAUUGCCAAAAUUUAGAAGCUAUCAAGAUGUCUUUCUCUAGGUGAAUGGGUAAAUAAACUGUGGUACAUCCAGAAAACAGAAUAUUAUUCAAAACUAAAAUGAAAUGAACUAUCAAGCCAUGAAGAGACAUGGGGGAAACUUAAAUGCAUAUUGCUAAGUUAAAGAAGCCACUCUUAAAAGGCUAUAUACUGUAUGAUUCUAACUAUAUGACAUUCUGGAAAACACAAAACUAUAGAGGCAGUAAAAAGAACAAUACUCGCCAGGGGUUAAGGAGGAGUGAAAGAUAAGUAGAUGGAACAUAGAGGAUUUUUUAGAACAAUGAAACUAUUGUUUAGGAUACUAUAAUGGUGGAUACAUGUAAUUAUACAUUUGUCCAAAGUCAUAGAAUAUACAACAUCAAGAAUGAACUCUAAUGUAAGCUAUGGAUUUGGGGUCACAAACAUGUAUAAAUGUAGGUUUGUUGAUUGUAACAAAUGUACCACUCUCUUGUAUGAGGCUGAUAGUCCGGGAGGCUACGUAUGUGUGUCAGGGUGCAGGGUAUAGAUGGGAAUACCCUCUACUUUGUACUCAAUUUUGCUGUGAACCUAAAACUUCUCUAAAAGAUCAAUUUUAUUUUGAAAAACACUAUGAUACACUAAAACUUCUUUUGUCCUUAUUUGGUAAUACUUAGAAAUAUAAUUUUAUUAAGAUUAUAUUUAAAAGUAGAACCAAAAGAUAUGCAUGUUUUAGUGAAAUAUCUUCUAUUGUUAUUACUAUCAUCAUAGUUAUUAUUAUUUGACUUAGAAAUCCUCAGUAGACAUUAUGAAAUUAGAGAUCAGUAAUGUUCAUGUUGAAAAAGAAAUAUACUUGAUAAAAUUGCUUCUUAUUCUUUUGGCGUUACUGUGGUUAAGAGUCUUGUGCUGUAAUGAUCUCAGUUAAAAAUAGUAAAAAGAAUCUCUUCAGUAUUGUGGUGGACUCUGCACAAUUCAUGCAACAAGAAGCUUGGUUACCUGCCCAUAUAGCUUUGUUUGUAUCAGCCAGUUGAAAUGUCAAGAUGGUUCCUUAUCCACUGGAUAAUUUCACAAUCUUCCUCUUAAUUUGGUUGCUUUGGACACAUUCUAUCCUGGAAACAAAAUCUAGGCUUCAUAAUACAUUCGGAAAUAAUAGAUUCAUGUUUUUUUCCAGCUGGUACUGGUAGAGUUUACACAUUUACUCCUGCACCAUAGGAACAGCUGCUUAAAAAGCUGAAGUGUGUAUUUGAUUCCAUUACAUUGGCACAAUAGAAAGUCACGUAAAAAGAGGGAGACUCUCUCAGCUUCUCCAUAUUUGGAAAAUUAAUACUUUUAAGUGCUUUAAAAAAAAAUCUCUACAGGUGGUCAGAUUCUAUGAACUUAGGACCAGAAAUGACCUCAUCACCUUCAGCUGGUCUAAAGUUGUCUUUGGCUGCUGCACACUUCACAAAAUCUUGUUAAUUAUGAUUGUUUUUUCCUAGUUAUAAGUCCUUCUGGAUACAUUUUUAUAAAGCAUUUAUUUUUAUCACUUACAUAACUACAUAAAAUAUUUUCACUGGUGUCAAAAUGUCAUGUUAUUGCCAAAUAGAUUCCAUUUCAAUUUCUAGAAAUUAUUGGAAAGUUAAUACCCACAUUUUAAUGGCACCCUUGCUGUAGUAUUAAAUCAUGCUUUCCUGAAAUUCACAAGAAUCGUAAUUACACUGCGUUUAUCCAGAAUAAAGCACUAGAACAGUUACUUUUUGGCCGUCUUGCCCAUUAAUUUCUAUGCUUGCACUUUCUCUUUAGACAAACAAUGAAUGAAAUUUAGUGUCUUUCUAGAAUUGAAUUUUCAUGAAAGUGUUAUAUACAUACUCAUCAUCUACUUCUCUUUUCAGCACAGUGAUGUUGUAGUUCAAGAAUUGAUGGACGAAGGGGCCCCAAGCCAAGGAAUGCAGGCCACCUCUAGAAGCUGGAAAAGGCAAGGAAAUGAAUUCCCCCAAGAGCCUCCAGAAGGAACACAACCAUGCCAACCUGUUUUAGACUUCUGAUCUCCUGAACUGGGCUGCCACACUCAUCUAGGGGCUGCAUCUACUAAUUGAUGCAUGCAGAACUCAUUACUGUUGAUGGAAGCAAAAACAACAAGGCUGAGUGCCUUGACUCAGUCAGAGGUUGGAAACCCUCUGGCUCAGCUUUACUGGCCAAUCUUCAUUAGAGAUGGGGUCUUCCUGUGUUGCUCAGGCUGGACUCGAACUCCUGGGCUAAGCUGAUCUUCCUGCCUUGGCCUUCCAACCCUUCCUCUGCUUUUGAAGAAGUCCUAAAGAAAAAAAGGACACAACUCUUCAUAUGAAAUCAUUUUUGACAUCUUCGGAGAUUUCUCUAGGUUCUGGCCCAAGCCUGACUGUUGUUCUGUUCCACCUGCAUUCUUCCUACACUUGAGGGAUUUCAAAAAAUGCAUUUUGCUGUGAACUCAGGCAUUUAUCCUCAUAUGUUUUCCUGCCUGUUCAGGUGUUCAUUUCUCUUGUUCUCAGUAAACACUAAAUUCAAGUCAAGCUUCUGGAAAGAAUAAUUUUGAGUCACUAGGAGUGCAGUGGCGCGAUCACCACUCACUGCAGCCUCCACCUCCUGCGUUCAAGUGAUUCUCCUGCCUCAGCCCCCCGAGUAGCUGGAUUUCUCUGAAUUUCAUCACACUAAGAUAUAUUUCUCAUGCCUGGUCUUGCUCUGUUGCCCAGUGUUGCCCAGGCUGGAGUGCAGUGGCACAAUCACAGCUCACUGAAGCCCUGACCUCCUGUGCUCAAGCAAUCCUCUUGCUUCAGCUUCCAGAGUAAAUGGAUCUUACUCUGUUACCCAGGCUGAAGUGCAGUUGCUUGAUCACAGCUCACCCUAGCCUUGAACUCCUGGGCUCAAGACAUCCUCACACCUCAGCCUCCAGAGUAGCUUGGACUAUAGGCAAGCCACUGCCAUGCCCAGCUAAUUUUAAAAAUUUUUUUGUAGAGACAAGGCCUCACUAUGUUGCCCAGGCUGGUCUCAAAUUCCUGGACUUAGGCGAUCCUCUGCCUCAGCCUUCCCAAAUGCUGAAAUUACAGGUGAGCCACCAUGCCCAGCCCUUAACGUCUUUAAACUGUCAUUUUCUCAUUUGUUGAAUGAAUAUCACAAUAGUACCCACCUCAUAGGGUAGUUCUGGGGAUUAAAUAAAAUAUUUAGUUAAAA
Molecule: long non-coding RNA, 3849 nt
Organism: Symphalangus syndactylus (siamang)
Lineage: Eukaryota; Metazoa; Chordata; Mammalia; Primates; Hylobatidae
Source: RefSeq, a predicted model, not a curated record